CUGUGGGCGGGGCUGCUUCAUAGGGCUCUGCUUGGCGGGAAGGGAGAAGGGGCGGGGCUCCCUUGGGUGGGCGGGGCUGCGAGGCUCGCUGCUUCCCUGCGCAGCGCCGGGCGCCGCCUCUCUGCGCACGGCCCCUGCCGCCAUCUUGGCUGUCGGCGUCGGCGUCGGCGCCGCGGGUCCACAGGAGGGGCCCUGAAGUGCCGCUUUCCCGAGGUGCGUUGUUUGAGGCUUCUGCCCGCCGCGUCCUGUGAGCAGGUGAAACUAGCCUGGGCGCAAAGGGGGAAAAAAAGGUCUCCUGGUUCUCAGGCCCUUCAGGCUCAGAGUGGAAUCUACACCAUUGGCUCUGGCUUUCAAGCCUUCAAACUGUAUCACCAGACUUCCUGGAUCUCCAGUUUGCAAAUGGCAGAUCAGCCUCCAUGACCAUGCAGAGUCAGUGAACAAAGAGGGUUGUAACAAAGAUCUGGAGAAGAAGAAAGACUUGAUCACAGUGGUUUAAAUCAGUCUGCACCCUUGUUGAAGAUCACCCGACUGUCUACA
This is a non-coding RNA of Vicugna pacos (alpaca), 537 nucleotides long. Lineage: Eukaryota; Metazoa; Chordata; Mammalia; Artiodactyla; Camelidae. The record is from RefSeq and is a predicted model, not a curated record.